CCUACGGGAGGCAGCAGUGAGGAAUAUUGGUCAAUGGACGCAAGUCUGAACCAGCCAUGCCGCGUGCAGGAAGACGGCUCUAUGAGUUGUAAACUGCUUUUGUACGAGGGUAAACUCAGAUACGCGUAUCUGUCUGAAAGUAUCGUACGAAUAAGGAUCGGCUAACUCCGUGCCAGCAGCCGCGGUAAUACGGAGGAUUCAAGCGUUACCCGGAUUUAUUGGGUUUAAAGGGUGCGUAGGCGGUCGGAUAAGUUAGAGGUGAAAUCCCGAGGCUCAACUUCGGAAUUGCCUCCGAUACUGUUAGGCUAGAGAGUAGUUGCGGUAGGCGGAAUGUAUGGUGUAGCGGUGAAAUGCUUAGAGAUCAUACAGAACACCGAUUGCGAAGGCAGCUUACCAAGCUACUUCUGACGUUGAGGCACGAAAGCGUGGGGAGCAAACAGGAUUAGAUACCCCAGUAGUC
Molecule: ribosomal RNA, 460 nt
Filed under: uncultured bacterium
Lineage: Bacteria
Description: partial 16S ribosomal RNA
Rfam family: Bacterial small subunit ribosomal RNA
Source: RNAcentral